UUUAACUGAAGAGUUUGAUCAUGGCUCAGAUUGAACGCUGGCGGCAGGCUUAACACAUGCAAGUCGAGCGGGGGAAGGUAGCUUGCUACUGGACCUAGCGGCGGACGGGUGAGUAAUGCUUAGGAAUCUGCCUAUUAGUGGGGGACAACAUCUCGAAAGGGAUGCUAAUACCGCAUACGUCCUACGGGAGAAAGCAG
This 197-nucleotide ribosomal RNA is filed under the name Acinetobacter baumannii. RNAcentral's name for it is "partial 16S ribosomal RNA". It matches the Rfam family "Bacterial small subunit ribosomal RNA", at positions 1 to 209 of the family's 1533-position model. The record is from RNAcentral. Lineage: Bacteria; Pseudomonadati; Pseudomonadota; Gammaproteobacteria; Moraxellales; Moraxellaceae.